RNAcentral lists this ribosomal RNA (460 nucleotides) under uncultured bacterium. Its description in RNAcentral is "partial 16S ribosomal RNA". It matches the Rfam family "Bacterial small subunit ribosomal RNA", at positions 338 to 795 of the family's 1533-position model. The record is from RNAcentral.
CCUACGGGUGGCAGCAGUGAGGAAUAUUGGUCAAUGGGCGGAAGCCUGAACCAGCCAAGUAGCGUGCAGGAUGACGGCCCUACGGGUUGUAAACUGCUUUUAUACGGGAAUAACGCGCCUUACGUGUAGGGCUUUGCAUGUACCGUAUGAAUAAGGACCGGCUAAUUCCGGGCCAGCAGCCACGGUAAUACGGAAGGUCCGGGCGUUAAUCGGAUUUUUUGGGUUUAAAGGGAGCGUAGGCCGCAUGUCAAGCGUGCUGUGAAAUGUCCGGGCUCAACCCGGGCUUUGCCGUGCGAACUGGCGUGCUUGAGUCCGCGGAAAGCAGGCGGAAUUCGUCGUGUAGCGGUGAAAUGCUUAGAUAUGACGAAGAACCCCGAUUGCGAAGGCAGCAUGCUGCAGCGGAACUGACGCUGAUGCUCGAAAGCGCGGGUAUCGAACAGGAUUAGAUACCCGAGUAGUC